Molecule: ribosomal RNA, 466 nt
Filed under: uncultured bacterium
Lineage: Bacteria
Description: partial 16S ribosomal RNA
Rfam family: Bacterial small subunit ribosomal RNA
Source: RNAcentral
GACGAACGCUGGCGGCGUGCUUAACACAUGCAAGUCGAACGGAAAGGCCCUGCUUUUGUGGGGUGCUCGAGUGGCGAACGGGUGAGUAACACGUGAGUAACCUGCCCUUGACUUUGGGAUAACUUCAGGAAACUGGGGCUAAUACCGGAUAGGAGCUCCUGCUGCAUGGUGGGGGUUGGAAAGUUUCGGCGGUUGGGGAUGGACUCGCGGCUUAUCAGCUUGUUGGUGGGGUAGUGGCUUACCAAGGCUUUGACGGGUAGCCGGCCAGAGGGUGACCGGCCACAUUGGGACUGAGAUACGGCCCAGACUCCUACGGGAGGCAGCAGUGGGGAAUAUUGCACAAUGGGCGGAAGCCUGAUGCAGCAACGCCGCGUGCGGGAUGACGGCCUUCGGGUUGUAAACCGCUUUCGCCUGUGACGAAGCGUGAGUGACGGUAAUGGGUAAAGAAGCACCGGCUAACUACGUG